RNAcentral lists this transfer RNA (63 nucleotides) under Psephenothrips eriobotryae. RNAcentral describes it as "tRNA-Thr". The record is from RNAcentral. Lineage: Eukaryota; Metazoa; Arthropoda; Insecta; Thysanoptera; Phlaeothripidae.
GUUUAUAUAAUUUAAAAAAAAUAUUAAUUUUGUAAAUUAAAUAUACUAUUAUAGUUAUAAACU